RNAcentral lists this ribosomal RNA (683 nucleotides) under uncultured bacterium. Its description in RNAcentral is "bacterial SSU rRNA". It matches the Rfam family "Bacterial small subunit ribosomal RNA", at positions 78 to 777 of the family's 1533-position model. The record is from RNAcentral.
CUUCGGGUAUUGAGGAUGGCGGACGGGUGAGUAACGCGUAAGGAACUUGCCUCUUGGUCUGGGACAACUGUUGGAAACGACAGCUAAUACCAGAUAUUAUGAGAUUCUCGCAUGAGAAACUUAUGAAAGCUAUAUGCGCCAAGAGAGAGCCUUGCGUUCCAUUAGCUAGUUGGUGGGGUAACGGCCCACCAAGGCGACGAUGGAUAGCCGGCCUGAGAGGGUGAACGGCCACAAGGGGACUGAGACACGGCCCUUACUCCUACGGGAGGCAGCAGUGGGGAAUAUUGGACUAUGGGCCACAAGCCUGAUCCAGCAAUUCUGUGUGCACGAUGAAGGUCUUCGGAUUGUAAAGUGCUUUCAGUUGGGAAGAAGAAAGUGACGGUACCAACAGAAGAAGCGACGGCUAAAUACGUGCCAGCAGCCGCGGUAAUACGUAUGUCGCAAGCGUUAUCCGGAUUUAUUGGGCGUAAAGCGCGUCUAGGCGGAAAAAUAAGUCUGAUGUUAAAAUGCGGGGCUCAACUCCGUAUUGCGUUGGAAACUGUUUUUCUAGAGUACUGGAGAGGUGGGCGGAACUACAAGUGUAGAGGUGAAAUUCGUAGAUAUUUGUAGGAAUGCCGAUGGAGAAGUCAGCUCACUGGACAGAUACUGACGCUAAAGCGCGAAAGCGUGGGGAGCAAACAGGA